UGGGGAAUUUUGGACAAUGGGCGCAAGCCUGAUCCAGCCAUGCCGCGUGAGUGAAGAAGGCCUUCGGGUUGUAAAGCUCUUUCGGACGGGAAGAAAUGGCGGGCUCUAACAUAGCCUGUCGAUGACGGUGCCGUAAGAAGAAGCACCGGCUAACUACGUGCCAGCAGCCGCGGUAAUACGAAGGGUGCAAGCGUUACUCGGAAUUACUGGGCAUAAAGCGUGCGUAGGUGGUUGUUUAAGUCUGAUGUGAAAGCCCUGGGCUCAACCUGGGAAUGGCAUUGGAAACUGGGCAGCUAGAGUGCGGUAGAGGGUAGUGGAAUUCCCGGUGUAGCAGUGAAAUGCGUAGAGAUCGGGAGGAACAUCUGUGGCGAAGGCGACUGCCUGGACCAGCACUGACACUGAGGCACGAAAGCGUGGGGAGCAAACA
RNAcentral lists this ribosomal RNA (427 nucleotides) under uncultured bacterium. RNAcentral describes it as "bacterial SSU rRNA". It matches the Rfam family "Bacterial small subunit ribosomal RNA", at positions 355 to 774 of the family's 1533-position model. The record is from RNAcentral.